This 270-nucleotide ribosomal RNA is filed under the name uncultured soil bacterium. RNAcentral describes it as "partial 16S ribosomal RNA". It matches the Rfam family "Bacterial small subunit ribosomal RNA", at positions 26 to 285 of the family's 1533-position model. The record is from RNAcentral.
AGAAUCAACGCUGGCGGCGUGCCUAACACAUGCAAGUCGAACGCGGUUGCCCCGCAAGGGGUGACUGAGUGGCAAACGGGUGAGUAACGCGUGGGUGACCUACCUUCGAGUGGGGGAUAACGUUUCGAAAGGAACGCUAAUACCGCAUGACAUCCUGCCUUUGGACAGGCGGAGAUCAAAGCCGGGGAUCGCAAGACCUGGCGCUUAAAGAGGGGCCCGCGUCCGAUUAGCUAGUUGGUGGGUAACGGCUCACCAAGGCGACGAUCGGUA